CUCAUUUGAAUAUUUGCUAGUACCACCAAGAUUUGCACCGGGACCCGCUUCACCUAGGCUCACGCUCCGGGCUUCGCAGCAAGCCCCGCGCCCUCCUACUCGUCGCGGCGUCAGAAUCGCUGCGAGGGCCGAGCAUUGGUCGCGCGCUUCAGCGCCAUCCAUUUUCGGGGCUGAUGUGAGAGGUUUGAGUGCCAGCAUGGGCUGAUGUGACCGGCAUUGCGGUGGGGAGCGAUUGAAACCCCCCACGGGUGGCGGUCACGGCAGUCGAGGAACUUGAGCACGCGCCUCUUUCGGCGGGCCCGUUCGGGUUCCUGCGUGUUCGGGAUAAUGGCGAAAUUCCUCUAUCUUUUCCAUCUUGAAACACAGACCAAGGAGUUCAACGUGCAUGCAAGCCGGUGGGUGAUUAGCCCACGAGGCGGAAGAAACCUGAGUGGCGGGAACCCUCUGCGGGUGCACCGUCCGCCAACCACGAUCUGAUGUGAGAGGUUUGAGUGUGAGCAUGCCCGUUUGGACCCGAAAGAUGGUGAACUAUGCCUGAGCAGGGUGAGGCCAGAGGAAACUCUUGUGGAGGCUCGCAGCGAUAUCGACGUGCAAAUCGUUCGUCGGACUUGGGUAUAGGGGCGARAGACUAAUCGAACCGUCUAGUAGCUGGUUGCCUCCGAAGUUUCCCUCAAGAUAGCUGGAGCUGUUGAACAGUUUUAUCGUGUAAAGCGAAUGAUUAGAGGCCUCGGGGSUGAAACACCCUCGACCUAUUCUCAAACUUUAAAUAGGUAAGAUUUCGGGGUUGCUUAAKCGAACCCCGAGGAUCAAUGAAAGCUCCAAGAGGGCCAUUUUUAGUAAGCAGAACUGGCGAUGCGGGAUGAACCGAAAGUCGAGAUACGGUCCCAAACUGCGCGAUAACCCUUACACCACAAAGGGUGUUGAUUGAUACAGACAGCAAGACGGCAGAAAUGGAAGUCAAAAUCCGCUAAGGAGUGUGUAACAACUCACCUGCCGAAUCAAUCAGCCCCGAAAAUGGAUGGCGUUGAAGCGCGCGACCUAUGCUCCGCAAUCGCAGCGAUUCUGACGCCGCGACGAGUAGGAGGGCAUGGGGCCUGCUGCGAAGCCUGGAGCGUGAGCCUAGGUGAAGCGGGUCCCGGUGCAGAUCUUGGUGGUAGUAGCAAAUAUUCAAAUGAGAACUUUGAAGACCGAAGUGGAGAAGGGUUCCAUGUGAACAGCGCUUGGACAUUGGUCUGUCGACCCUAAGAGAUGUGGAAACCUAUUACCCAGGGCCCACUUCGCGCCGCACAUCGAAAGGGGGUCGGGUUAAUAUUUCCGAACCGGGUUGUGGAGGAGGACGGUAACGUAAGCAGCUCCGGAUAUGCCAGCGGGGGCCGUGGGGAGGGUUCUCUUUCGUUCUUGACAGCUCGCCCACCCUGGAAUCGGAUCAACCGAAGAUAGGGUGCAGUUCCCGGCAAAGCACCGCACGUCCUGUGGUGUCCAGCGCGCCCCUGAUGGCCCUUGAAAAUCUGGAGCUGUGGGUACCUCUCACGCCCGGCCGUACUCAUAACCGCAUCAGGUCUCCUAGGUGAGCAGCCUCUGGUCAAAGGAAGAAUGUAGGUAAGGGAAGUCGGCAAUAUGGAUCCGUAACCUUCGGAAAAGGAUUGGCUCUGGGGGCUGGGCGUAGGGGUCUGCGCCUCGAUGUCGUUGGCUGCCGGUGUUCUGCCCGAGCUGCUCCCGCGGCGAGGGCGGAGCCCGCGUUCCAGAACUGGUGCGGACAAGGGGAAUCCGUCUGUUUAAUUAAAACAAAGCAUUGCGAUGGUCCCAAGGGAUGUUGACGCAAUGUGAUUUCUGCCCAGUGCUCUGMAUGUCAAAGUGAAGAGAUUCAACCAAGCGCAGGUAAACGGAGGGAGUAACUAUGACUCUCUUAAGKUAGCCAAAUGCCUCGUCAUCUAAUUAGUGACGCGUAUGAAUGGAUUAAUGAGAUUCUCACUGUCCCUAUCUACCAUCCUGCGAAACCACAGCCAAGGGAACGGGCUUGCAAGAAUCGGCGGGGAAAGAAGACCCUGUUGAGCUUGACUCUAGUUCGACUCUGUGAAAUGACUUGAGAGGUGCAGAAUAAGUGGGAGCCUUACGGCGCAAGUGANNNNNNACUACUUUUAACGUUAUUUUACUUAUUUCGUGAGGUGGAGCCGGGGCUCUGCCCCUGCUUCUCGAUCCAAGGUGCAGGCCCUCGUGGCCUGUCCGAUCCAAGUCAAAGACAUUGUCAGGUGGGGAGUUUGGCUGGGGCGGCAGAUCUGUUAGAAGAUAACGCAGGUGUCCUAAGAUUCGCUCAACGAGAACAGAAAUGUCGUGUGGAGCAAAAGGGCAAAAGCUCAUUUGAUUUUGAUUUUCAGUUCGAAUACAAACUGUGAGAGCAUGGCCUAUCGAUCCCUUGGCGUUUAAGGACUUAAAGGUACAGGUGUCAGAAAAGUUACCACWGGGAUAACUGGCUUGUGGCAGCCAAGCGUUCAUAGCGACGUUGCUUUUUUAUCCUUCGAUGGCGGCUCUUCCUAUCAUUGUGAAGCAGAAUCCCCCAAGUGUUGGAUUGUUCACCCACCAAUAGGGAACGUGAGCUGGGCUUAGACCGUCGUUAGACAGGUUAGGGGUCUCCCCUGCCUGCCCCUCGGCGAUCUUGCCCACCCGCCUCUUCGCUUGUUGGGGUGAGUSUUGGAKCUCGACCCUUGCAUUCGUGUGGAUGUGGAGGGCACGGGAGAGCCGUACAACUUAGUGUGGCAGAAUAGUUAGUAAUUAGCAUGGUUGCAUGACAGGUGUGUGGAAAAAGGGUUGCCCUCACCCCAGUGGAAGAGGGCAAUAAGGGGAAACUCUAACGCUUCAGGCAUAUAGACUCCCCCAAGUUUUCGCCUUGCGCUGAGGGU
RNAcentral lists this ribosomal RNA (2897 nucleotides) under Chara braunii. RNAcentral's name for it is "eukaryotic LSU rRNA". Lineage: Eukaryota; Viridiplantae; Streptophyta; Charophyceae; Charales; Characeae. The record is from RNAcentral.